UACCGGCAGCACGAGUGAUGACCGCUAUUAUUGGGCCUAAAGCGUCCGUAGCUGGCCGCGCAAGUCUAUCGGGAAAUCUGCGUGCUUAACGCGCAGGCGUCCGGUGGAAACUGUGUGGCUUGGGACCGGAAGAUCCAGAGGGUACGUCUGGGGUAGGAGUGAAAUCCCGUAAUCCUGGACGGACCGCCGGUGGCGAAAGCGCUCUGGAAGGACGGAUCCGACGGUGAGGGACGAAAGCUCGGGUCACGAACCGGAUUAGAUACCCGGGUAGUCCGAGCUGUAAACGAUGUCUGCUAGGUGUGACACUGGCUACGAGCCAGUGUUGUGCCGUAGGGAAGCCGUGAAGCAGACCGCCUGGGAAGUACGUCCGCAAGGAUGAAACUUAAAGGAAUUGGCGGGGGAGCACGGGGCGGGGGCGGCGGGCCGGGCGCGGGGCGCGGCGGGCG
RNAcentral lists this ribosomal RNA (446 nucleotides) under uncultured archaeon. RNAcentral's name for it is "bacterial SSU rRNA". It matches the Rfam family "Archaeal small subunit ribosomal RNA", at positions 474 to 924 of the family's 1478-position model. The record is from RNAcentral. RNAcentral also lists the same sequence under 1 other name.